UACGUAGGGGGCAAGCGUUGUCCGGAUUUAUUGGGCGUAAAGAGCGUGUAGGCGGCCAGGUAGGUCAGCUGUGAAAACUCGAGGCUCAACCUCGAGACGUCGGUUGAAACCACCUGGCUAGAGUCCGGAAGAGGAGAGUGGAAUUCCUGGUGUAGCGGUGAAAUGCGCAGAUAUCGGGAGGAACACCUAUGGCGAAGGCAGCUCGCUGGGACGUUACUGACGCUGAGACGCGAAAGCGUGGGGAGCAAACAGG
RNAcentral lists this ribosomal RNA (253 nucleotides) under uncultured bacterium. RNAcentral describes it as "partial 16S ribosomal RNA". It matches the Rfam family "Bacterial small subunit ribosomal RNA", at positions 524 to 776 of the family's 1533-position model. The record is from RNAcentral.